Molecule: ribosomal RNA, 333 nt
Filed under: Triticum aestivum (bread wheat)
Lineage: Eukaryota; Viridiplantae; Streptophyta; Magnoliopsida; Poales; Poaceae
Description: partial small subunit ribosomal RNA
Source: RNAcentral
AUGAGAGAUGUGGAAAAAAGUGAAGUAAGGGUACCCUAUGGGUAUCUGAUUUUGCCCCCUUUUUUUGCGAAUAAUCUGAUUUUGCCCCUUGGUCUCUUUUUUCAUGACAAAAAGGAAAUUCCAUUCAUUGAACCCUUGUUCAGUUUUCCAAAGAGAAAAAAAUCAUCCCAGCCUGGCCAGAUGGGCCAACUAUCAGGCUGCUCUAGACCACCACCGAGCCGAGCUGUGAAACAGUCCAGCCCGGCCUGUUUUGCUGCAAGGAAGAACAAGAAAAAUACCAGCGCACAUGUGCCUGUGUUUGAUUCCCUCCAAAAAAAAUGUGCGUGUGUCUGA